AAUCCAUAGGUUAAUGAGGCGAACCGGGGGAACUGAAACAUCUAAGUACCCCGAGGAAAAGAAAUCAACCGAGAUUCCCCCAGUAGCGGCGAGCGAACGGGGAGGAGCCCAGAGCCUGAAUCAGCAUGUGUGUUAGUGGAAGCGUCUGGAAAGGCGCGCGAUACAGGGUGACAGCCCCGUACACAAAAGCGCAUGUGCUGUGAGCUCGAUGAGUAGGGCGGGACACGUGGUAUCCUGUCUGAAUAUGGGGGGACCAUCCUCCAAGGCUAAAUACUCCUGACUGACCGAUAGUGAACCAGUACCGUGAGGGAAAGGCGAAAAGAACCCCGGCGAGGGGAGUGAAAAAGAACCUGAAACCGUGUACGUACAAGCAGUGGGAGCCCCACCACCAAAGCAUUCUCUGGUGUUGAAGGCCCUGCAAAGCAGCAUCGCGGU
This 435-nucleotide ribosomal RNA is filed under the name Salmonella enterica subsp. enterica serovar Infantis. RNAcentral's name for it is "partial 23S ribosomal RNA". It matches the Rfam family "Bacterial large subunit ribosomal RNA", at positions 161 to 594 of the family's 2925-position model. Lineage: Bacteria; Pseudomonadati; Pseudomonadota; Gammaproteobacteria; Enterobacterales; Enterobacteriaceae. RNAcentral also lists the same sequence under 1 other name. The record is from RNAcentral.